This 866-nucleotide ribosomal RNA is filed under the name Coprinus littoralis. RNAcentral's name for it is "eukaryotic LSU rRNA". It matches the Rfam family "Eukaryotic large subunit ribosomal RNA", at positions 97 to 949 of the family's 3401-position model. Lineage: Eukaryota; Fungi; Basidiomycota; Agaricomycetes; Agaricales; Agaricaceae. The record is from RNAcentral.
AGCGGGAAAAGCUCAAAUUUAAAAUCUGGCGGUCUUUGGCCGUCCGAGUUGUAAUCUAGAGAAGUGUUACCCGCGUUGGACCGUGUACAAGUCUCCUGGAAUGGAGCGUCAUAGAGGGUGAGAAUCCCGUCUUUGACACGGACUACCGAGGCUUUGUGGUAUGCUCUCAAAGAGUCGAGUUGUUUGGGAAUGCAGCUCAAAAUGGGUGGUAAAUUCCAUCUAAAGCUAAAUAUUGGCGAGAGACCGAUAGCGAACAAGUACCGUGAGGGAAAGAUGAAAAGAACUUUGGAAAGAGAGUUAAACAGUACGUGAAAUUGCUGAAAGGGAAACGCUUGAAGUCAGUCGCGUUGGCUUGGGAUCAGCUUCGCUUUUGCGUGGUGUACUUCCUAGUUGACGGGUCAGCAUCAAUUUUGACCGCUGGAAAAAGGUUUGGGGAAGGUGGCAGUUUCGGCUGUGUUAUAGCCCCUUGUCAUAUACAGCGAUUGGGAUUGAGGUACUCAGCACGCCGCAAGGCCGGGUUUCGACCACGAUCGUGCUUAGGAUGCUGGCAUAAUGGCUUUAAGCGACCCGUCUUGAAACACGGACCAAGGAGUCUAACAUGCCUGCGAGUGUUUGGGUGGAAAACCCGAGCGCGUAAUGAAAGUGAAAGUUGAGAUCCCUGUCGUGGGGAGCAUCGACGCCCGGACCAGAACUUUUGGGACGGAUCCGCGGUAGAGCAUGUAUGUUGGGACCCGAAAGAUGGUGAACUAUGCCUGAAUAGGGUGAAGCCAGAGGAAACUCUGGUGGAGGCUCGUAGCGAUUCUGACGUGCAAAUCGAUCGUCGAAUUUGGGUAUAGGGGGCGAAAGACUAAUCGAACCAUCUAGUA